UUUAACUCUGCCCUUAACUAUUUAAUUUGUGCAUGCAUGGUAAUUUUAGGCAUCAAAAGUCAUCAUUUCAUGCGAAUUAAGACAAUGACAUUUCCCAAAAUUCCGUCCAAAAAAGGACCACAUUAUGUACAAAAUAAAUAGUCAAGGGACAACUUAAAUACAAAAUAUUUGUUAAAGAUCAAAUAAAAUAAGAGCUAGUAGUAUAGGAACUUCAUAAUGGAUUUAGCCUGUUUUAAUUUUUGUAUGCUAAUGAUUUACAUUCAGGAGGGAGCUUCAGGAAGAGCUAGACAUUACUCUUCCAAAAGAUGCAUUUGAAUUGUUUUUUGUAUAUCUUCAACAGUGUGUCACAAAUGAUGGCAAUUUUAUCAAUAAUGAGUACGAUGAUGUGUACCUCGUAACAACUGUACAUCCAAUUCCUUUGGAGGCUUUUACUCUUCAAGUGAGUUAUUUAAUGCUUAUAUUAUCUAAUGGAAUUGGUAAUAUUCGUGAACCAAACCAAAGAUGUACUGUGCUUGCCGCCAUAGCAAACUUUUACUUGUUAAUUUUUUGGCAAGGGAACAUGUUUUACCAGUCUAUGUUGUCUUGAUAUUUUAUCAAAGAUAAAUAGCAGGUACAUGCUAUGAACUUCUCACAGCAUUGUAACAUCCAAAGGUAUAAAGAGAACACCACACGCAGAGCUCGACACUACAGAAGCAGCUAAAUCGAUAUGCUCCUGUGUGCGGAGGUUGUCAACUUUAAUCUGCAUUAAUCUCUCUGAUAUUUUAAUUGCUACAAUAUAUAUUUGACUUAUCACCAUAAAGCUUUAUACUCACUCAGAUAUUCUGUGACAUUCUGGUAUAUAAUUAUGUGCCCCAUUUAGUUAUUGAACCUAUUAUAACUUGAUUUGAAAUUCUGUAAUUGGCAAGACUUGUUGAGUAUAUGUUGACAUGAACAGUUGUAGGCUCAGGGUUAAGACUUUUGUGAGGUGCAAAUUCUGGUGCUUACUGUCUGAAACAGUAUGGCUAUCAAAAUUAUGUCAAAUGGUCCAAGAAGAUGUUUAGACCGAAGUUGAAUAACUGCCGAUUAAUUCUGUUUCAAACUGUUUACCAUUCUAAAUUAUCUGUUUGUCUGUAUAACUGUUUUUGUGUGUCUGUCCGAGGACUGCAGGUUUGGUGGAGUCUAUGUAUGUGUCUUUUCUUGCCGGAUGCUUUCGGUCAGUUCGAUUUGGUUUAGAAGAAGCUCAUGGGAAAGGACGAGCAUUCAUCUUGCACCCUGAUGGAACUUUCUCCGUUGAUUCUGCUAAGCUUGAAGGGGCGGUUGAAGUCGGAAAAUUCUAACUAUACGGGCAAAAGGAUUAGAGGCUCUUCAGGUAUGAGUCUAAAAUUAUGCUACGCAAACUGGAUUACCUAUAAAAAUUCCCCUACAGUGUGUUUAAUCAUCUAAUCUAUCUUCCUGAUACAAACUGCAUCGCCGAGGACUUCGUUUUCUCAAACCAUGCAGACAGGGGAACUUCAAAUGUCUUCAGAAAUCAACAUAGUAAUUACCUUACAUCAUCUAGUAUUGUGUAGAAUACUGUUUUAGGCAUGCUUAAAGAAACUUUCUCAGUAAGAGCAGUAGAAUAUCAGUAGGAAUGUGCAUAUCCAGCAAGUCUUAUGUCCAACAGGAUGGAUGUUUUACAAAGAUGGAGAAGAAGGAAACAACUAGACUCGUAUUUUCUUGCACUGCGAUAUUGCACUUGUAAAUAUUGUUAAUUCUGGUUUCUUUUUUCCGUAUUAUUUUGUCUAUUUCUGCGUUUUUCAGGUGCCCGUGGAUAUAGUUCCCACAUUUCCCAUAGCCAAUGAAAUAUUGGAGUAAAGGAAAUGUUACUGUGUUCGAGCAUGGAGUUCGGGCAGCUUUCUUGCCCAUGCAGAUCAAAUAAAUGGAAAUAAUUUGAAUUGUGGCUUCUCUAGCCAAUACUUGUUAAAUUACUGAGAAAAUUGGACAGUGGCAUAAUCAUUUCCAUUGUUUUCACUUUUCAUCAAUAAAUCCAGCACUCUUGACGGGUUUCUUUAAUGUUUACAGAA
Mercurialis annua (annual mercury) is the source of this 2042-nucleotide long non-coding RNA. RefSeq lists it as uncharacterized. The record is from RefSeq and is a predicted model, not a curated record. The transcript has 4 exons. NCBI's taxonomy places the organism in Eukaryota, Viridiplantae, Streptophyta, Magnoliopsida, Malpighiales, Euphorbiaceae.